GAUGAACGCUGGCGGCGUGCCUAAUACAUGCAAGUCGAGCGAACAGACGAGGAGCUUGCUCCUCUGACGUUAGCGGCGGACGGGUGAGUAAAAUGUGGAUAACCUACCUAUAAGACUGGGAUAACUUCGGGAAACCGGAGCUAAUACCGGAUAAUAUAUUGAACCGCAUGGUUCAAUAGUGAAAGACGGUUUUGCUGUCAUUUAUAGAUGGAUCCGGGCUGCAUUAGUUAGUUGGUAAGGUAACGGCUUACCAAGGCAACGAUGCGUAGCCGACCUGAGAGGGUGAUCGGGCACACUGGAACUGAGCCACGGUCCAGAGUCCUACGUGCGGCAGAAGUAGGGAAUCGUGCGCGAUGGGCGAAAGCCUGACGGAGCAGCGCCGCGUGAGUGAUGAAGGGCUUCGGGUCGGAAAACUGUGUUAUGGGGGAAGAACAAAUGUGUCAGUAACUAUGCACGUCUUGACGGUACCUGAUCAGAAAGCCACGGCUAACUACGUG
This 497-nucleotide ribosomal RNA is filed under the name uncultured bacterium. RNAcentral's name for it is "partial 16S ribosomal RNA". It matches the Rfam family "Bacterial small subunit ribosomal RNA", at positions 28 to 507 of the family's 1533-position model. The record is from RNAcentral.